AGUGGCGGACGGGUGAGUAACGCGUGAGAAUCUGGCUUCAGGAGGGGGACAACAGUUGGAAACGACUGCUAAUACCCCAUAUGUCUACGGAUGAAACGGUGAAUUCCGCCUGAAGAUGAGCUCGCGUCGGAUUAGCUAGUUGGUGAGGUAAAGGCUCACCAAGGCGACGAUCCGUAGCUGGUCUGAGAGGAUGAUCAGCCACACUGGGACUGAGACACGGCCCAGACUCCUACGGGAGGCAGCAGUGGGGAAUUUUCCGCAAUGGGCGAAAGCCUGACGGAGCAACGCCGCGUGCGGGAAGACGGCCUGUGGGUUGUAAACCGCUUUUCUCUGGGAAGAAUAAGUUGACGGUACCAGAGGAAUCAGCAUCGGCUAACUCCGUGCCAGCAGCCGCGGUAAUACGGAGGAUGCAAGCGUUAUCCGGAAUUAUUGGGCGUAAAGCGUCCGCAGGCGGCUUAUCAAGUCUGCUGUUAAAGGUCGGGGCUCAACUCCGGUUAGGCAGUGGAAACUGAUAGGCUAGAGUGUGGUAGGGGUAGAGGGAAUUCCCAGUGUAGCGGUGAAAUGCGUAGAUAUUGGGAAGAACACCAGUGGCGAAGGCGCUCUACUGGGCCACAACUGACGCUGAGGGACGAAAGCUAGGGGAGCGAAAGGGAUUAGAUACCCCUGUAGUCCUAGCUGUAAACGAUGGACACUAGGUGUU
RNAcentral lists this ribosomal RNA (700 nucleotides) under uncultured Leptolyngbya sp. RNAcentral describes it as "bacterial SSU rRNA". It matches the Rfam family "Bacterial small subunit ribosomal RNA", at positions 94 to 824 of the family's 1533-position model. The record is from RNAcentral. Lineage: Bacteria; Bacillati; Cyanobacteriota; Cyanophyceae; Leptolyngbyales; Leptolyngbyaceae.